AACGUAGGAGGCAAACGUUAUCCGGAGUUAUUGGGCGUAAAGGGCGUGUAGGCGGUAUGUUAAGUCUGGCGUGAAAGCUCUCGGCUAAACCGGGAGAGGUCGUUGGAUACUGGCAAACUAGAGGAUGGUAGAGGCGUGUGGAAUUCCUGGUGUAGUGGUGAAAUGCGUAGAGAUCCGGAGGAACACCAAUGGCGAAGGCAGCACGCUGGGCCAUACCUGACGCUAAAGCGCGACAGCAUGGGGAGCAAACGGG
This 253-nucleotide ribosomal RNA is filed under the name uncultured bacterium. RNAcentral describes it as "partial 16S ribosomal RNA". It matches the Rfam family "Bacterial small subunit ribosomal RNA", at positions 524 to 776 of the family's 1533-position model. The record is from RNAcentral.